Molecule: non-coding RNA, 3533 nt
Filed under: Pongo abelii (Sumatran orangutan)
Lineage: Eukaryota; Metazoa; Chordata; Mammalia; Primates; Hominidae
Source: RNAcentral
GGCACCCGCUGGCGGCCCCAGCCUCAGCCUCCAGCGACGUUUGCCUCCUGCGGCCGUCCCCAGGCAGAGCUGCGAUCCCACCGCCGGGGGUGCAGGGAGAGGGAAGAUCUGGCCUCCUUUGUCCUUUUGCGUGGGCUCUUCAGAGCGUGAGCGCCGGGAAGGGACUCCGGAGAAAAGCUUGGGGGGCUGCGUAUUGCUGCUCCCCAAGCUGGGCGUCAGGACCACCCCCUGCCGCCCCCACGGGCCUGACGGGAGAGGAGGGAGGGCUUGGGACGGUCGGCUCGCCGAGCCAACCAGGUGGAGCCUGAAGAGCUGUCCAUGGUGUCGACAGCCCAGCAAACGGCACCGAGUUCGUAGUCUGAGUGUCUGGGUAGGUAGCAGAAGAAAAACUAAUGCCUGCUCUGGGACAGUUCUGUUCGGUGCCUUUUCUUGUGUGUUCUGGAGCUCACAGGGUUCUAUCGAAGAGUGCUCAGGUGUAUACGAUGGAGAGUGGGACGUCACAAACCAGGAUCUCAAGGCUGAGCCCAACAAAACAUGGCUGUAGGGAGGCCACGACAGCUGUGGUUGUCACCGAUGGAUGAAUAGCUUUUGCCAACCGUGGAAUUUAGUAACUAAAGGCACCUAACCCCUUUAUCUCAUCCUCAUUUUUCAACAAAUCGUGCUUCCUGGCUAAUAUUAGCGUGUCCCAUAGAUUUAUUUCUGCUUCCAUUGAAUAGACCUAAUUAUGAGAAUGAAGUCAAAGCCAACAGGGCAGAAAGGAAUUGAAAACCUGAAGAACCCAGCACUCAAACUGUCUCCACUUGCCUUUGCUUUUUCUUUACCUCUUCUCCUUCUGGUUUUUAACAGCCAAAGCAGAAUUUAAAUUUGGUUAUGUUGCAAAAAUAAUUUCCCUCUUCAGGCCCUGUCAUGUGACUUGAUUUUUUCAUCCAUUUUAGAGAAGCUGUACCCACCCUGGUUUCAGGACACGGAACUAAAUUUAUUAGAAAAGAAGCCACUUCAAGUCAUGAAGGAGAAAUACAAAGAUUCUUGGAUUUAGUUCUAAGAACUAGAGGGGAUUUCUAUCUCAGUACUGUCUCAGAAAAAACUGUUGAUAUCAAAUGCGUUGCUUGAGAGGUACCUUUUUUUUUCCUCUCUUUUUUGAGACAGAGUCUCGCUCUGUCGCCCAGGCUAGAGUGCAGUGGCGCGAUCUCGGCUCACUGCAAGCUCCGCCUCCUGGGUUCACGCCAUUCUCCUGCCUCAGCCUCCCGAGUAGCUGGGAUUACAGGCACCCACCACCACGCCCGGCUAAUUUUUGUAUUUUUAGUAGAGACGGGGUUUCACCGUGUUAGCCAGGAUGGUCUUGAUCUCCUGACCUCGUGAUCCACCCGCCUCAGCCUCCCAAAGUGCUGGGAUUACAGGCGUGAGCCAUCGUGCCUGGCCGAGAGGUACCUUUUAUGACAACUGAAAUCAUUCAGUUUCAAGAGGAGUUGGGUACUGAAACCAAACUUGCUUACUCCAAAGCCCAGAAUCCUUUCCACCAUGCCUGUGUGUCUGUAAGGCUACACUAGAAACGCUUCCUUUCUUAUAGUGGGAAGCAUGGGUACUAAGCUCUUUUAGGAACAAGUGUUCUGCAUAUUCCUGGUUCCUUUUUAUUUUGGACUGAGGAGAUUUAGGUCAAAAUUUCUGGGUUCUGGGUUGAAAUUCCAGCUUCUUUCUUCAAAUUAAACUGGGGAGUAGCAAGACUUAUUCCUAGAUUUGUUAGAAGGCCACAACUUUUCCGCAUCUCAUUUUAGUCAUGAAAGAAACACAUGCCCAGAGUUUGAAAAACAUAAAGGCAAUUUGACUAGUGGCUUGAUUGGUUCUAUCUUCUUUUUCUUGUCCCUCUUUCCUGUUUAUACUUCUACUUUUGUUACAGCGUUUGACAAUAGUUGGAAAAUUUUUCACUGACCUUGAAAUGUCUUUGGGGUAGGGUGACUUAAAAUAUAGGUUAAGUGGCAUACACAAAUUUCUUAGUGAGAUCCUAAGGGCCUACAGAGACAGGCUGACACCAACUCAACCCUUGAAACUGCAAUGAAGAGCCUGUGGGAGGCUAAAAAAUGCUACUUCAAAAAGAUAUCCUUGUCUGUGAAUGUUAAUUUAGGUUAAUUUGCAGAUUUGAUUAAGGGUCUUGAGAUUAUUUUGAAUUAUCCAGGUGGGCCCUAGAGCCCUAGAUGCAAUCACAAGUGUCCUUAUAACAGGGAGGCAGAGGAAAAUUAAACACGCACACAGGAGAAAGAGAGAGAGAGAGAGAGAGAAAGGUGAUGUGAAGACAGCAGCAGAGAUUGGAGCGAUGUGGCCAUAGCCAAGCUGUCAGCAGCCGUCAGAAGUUGGAAGAGGCAAGGAAGGAUUUAAGCCUAGAGCCUUUGGAAGGAGCAUGGCCCUGUUGGUUCUGGCCUCCAGAACUGCGAGAAAAUGUAUUUUUAUUGUUUUAAACCACCCAGUUCAUGGUAAUUUGUAACACCAGCUACAAGAAAUUAACACAAGGCUGAUGUGACUUUCCAUCAGGAAAGAGACAGCCCCAGCCACGUGCCUUUCGUCAAGAUUGUAAGUUUCCUGAGGCCUUCCCACCCAUGCGGUACUAGUUUUAUUUGAGAAAAUGCCAUACCACUGAAGAAAAUUGCCUAACAGCUGGAAAGAAGAAAAAAAAUAGGAAAAAAUCUUCCUGUGACUUCCUACAACUUUUGGGAUAAGGACCAAAGUAUUUCAAAUGACCUACAAGAUCCUCUAUCAUCUGUACUAUGGACUGACUUGCUCACUCCAGCUGUCCUAUGCUUUCUUCAGCGCCUCCAGCGUAGCCUGCUCUCUUUCACCUCAGGGCUAACUCCUAUUUUUCCUCCAGGUCUAAUGAUCUACAUAUCACUUCCUCAGGGUGAAAGGAAAUCUUCUGGGACUGGCUGGUCAAGGUCUCUGUGCCCCUUGUCACAUGUUCCACAUUACCUUGAAUGUCCCCUUUCAUAACUCAUCACACCUGAGAUUACCUAUUUGUUGUCAACUGUGCUGGACUGUGAACCCCACAAAGAUUCCACUUCUAGCUUACUCAGUGCUAUAUCCCCAAACCUCAGAAGAGUAUCUGCUACAGCAGUCCUCCUUAUCUGUGGUUUCAGUCAGCUGUGGCAGGGUAUGAUAACAUAUUUUGAGAGAGAAAGAGAAACUACAUUCAUAUAACCUUUACCACAGUAUAUUAUUAAUAAUUGUUCUAUUAUUAGUUAUUAAUCUCUUACUGUGCCUAAUUUAUAAGGUAAACUUUAUCAUAGGUAUGUAUGUAGAGGAAAAAACAGUAUAUAUAGGGUUCGGUACUAUCUGUGGUUUCAGGUAGCCACUGGGCAUCUUAGAACAUAUACCCCAUGGAUACAGGGAGGACUACUGUAGUCUACUUGCUGAAAAAAUUAAUUGUGGCUUAGUCAGGCAUUUUGUUGAAUACGAUGGACCUUACUUUGGAACUCAGAAAUCACUUUCUCCUGUGAAAAUAUCAAACUUGAAUGAACUUUUGGAAUAAAAUUAUUUUGUAAAAUGGA